Molecule: ribosomal RNA, 274 nt
Filed under: uncultured bacterium
Lineage: Bacteria
Description: partial 16S ribosomal RNA
Rfam family: Bacterial small subunit ribosomal RNA
Source: RNAcentral
AUACGGAGGGUGCAAGCGUUACUCGGAAUCACUGGGCGUAAAGGACGCGUAGGCGGGUUGGCAAGUCAGAUGUGAAAUCCUACAGCUUAACUGUAGAACUGCAUUUGAAACUGCUAACCUAGAGUAUGGGAGGGGGAGAUGGAAUUAGUGGUGUAGGGGUAAAAUCCGUAGAUAUCACUAGGAAUACCGAAGGCGAAGGCGAUCUCCUGGAACAUAACUGACGCUAAGGCGUGAAAGCGUGGGGAGCAAACAGGAUUAGAAACCCGAGUAGUCC